This 194-nucleotide non-coding RNA is filed under the name Anaerovibrio lipolyticus. Lineage: Bacteria; Bacillati; Bacillota; Negativicutes; Selenomonadales; Selenomonadaceae. The record is from RNAcentral.
AGUUAAAUAUUUGGAACAGGUGCCAAGGCCUAGUUGCUAGGCUGGCCUAACAUGAGAAACCGGUUAAAGGCCGGUACGGUCCCGCCACUGUAUCAGGGAAUCAGGCGUUACUAUAUGUCACUGGAGUAUUCUGGGAAGGCAACGCCACGGUUAUGAUCUGGAGUCAGGAGAACUGCCUGUUGAACAAUCACCGU